Molecule: non-coding RNA, 30 nt
Filed under: Mus musculus (house mouse)
Lineage: Eukaryota; Metazoa; Chordata; Mammalia; Rodentia; Muridae
Source: RNAcentral
UAGGCUUAGAAAACUUACGUCCCCCUUCCU